GACGAACGCUGGCGGCGUGCCUAAUACAUGCAAGUAGAACGCUGAAGAGAGGAGCUUGCUCUUCUUGGAUGAGUUGCGAACGGGCGAGUAACGCGUAGGUAACCUGCCUUGUAGCGGGGGAUAACUAUUGGAAACGAUAGCUAAUACCGCAUAACAAUGGAUGACACAUGUCAUUUAUUUGAAAGGGGCAAUUGCUCCACUACAAGAUGGACCUGCGUUGUAUUAGCUAGUAGGUGAGGUAACGGCUCACCUAGGCGACGAUACAUAGCCGACCUGAGAGGGUGAUCGGCCACACUGGGACUGAGACACGGCCCAGACUCCUACGGGAGGCAGCAGUAGGGAAUCUUCGGCAAUGGGGGCAACCCUGACCGAGCAACGCCGCGUGAGUGAAGAAGGUUUUCGGAUCGUAAAGCUCUGUUGUAAGUCAAGAACGAGUGUGAGAGUGGAAAGUUCACACUGUGACGGUAGCUUACCAGAAAGGGACGGCUAACUACGAGCCAGCAGCCGCGGUAAUACGUAGGUCCCGAGCGUUGUCCGGAUUUAUUGGGCGUAAAGCGAGCGCAGGCGGUUUGAUAAGUCUGAAGUUAAAGGCUGUGGCUCAACCAUAGUUCGCUUUGGAAACUGUCAAACUUGAGUGCAGAAGGGGAGAGUGGAAUUCCAUGUGUAGCGGUGAAAUGCGUAGAUAUAUGGAGGAACACCGGUGGCGAAAGCGGCUCUCUGGUCUGUAACUGACGCUGAGGCUCGAAAGCGUGGGGAGCGAACAGGAUUAGAUACCCUGGUAGUCCACGCCGUAAACGAUGAGUGCUAGGUGUUGGAUCCUUUCCGGGAUUCAGUGCCGCAGCUAACGCAUUAAGCACUCCGCCUGGGGAGUACGACCGCAAGGUUGAAACUCAAAGGAAUUGACGGGGGCCCGCACAAGCGGUGGAGCAUGUGGUUUAAUUCGAAGCAACGCGAAGAACCUUACCAGGUCUUGACAUCCCGAUGCUAUUUCUAGAGAUAGAAAGUUACUUCGGUACAUCGGUGACAGGUGGUGCAUGGUUGUCGUCAGCUCGUGUCGUGAGAUGUUGGGUUAAGUCCCGCAACGAGCGCAACCCCUAUUGUUAGUUGCCAUCAUUCAGUUGGGCACUCUAGCGAGACUGCCGGUAAUAAACCGGAGGAAGGUGGGGAUGACGUCAAAUCAUCAUGCCCCUUAUGACCUGGGCUACACACGUGCUACAAUGGUUGGUACAACGAGUUGCGAGUCGGUGACGGCAAGCUAAUCUCUUAAAGCCAAUCUCAGUUCGGAUUGUAGGCUGCAACUCGCCUACAUGAAGUCGGAAUCGCUAGUAAUCGCGGAUCAGCACGCCGCGGUGAAUACGUUCCCGGGCCU
RNAcentral lists this ribosomal RNA (1369 nucleotides) under uncultured bacterium. RNAcentral's name for it is "bacterial SSU rRNA". It matches the Rfam family "Bacterial small subunit ribosomal RNA", at positions 28 to 1381 of the family's 1533-position model. The record is from RNAcentral.